UGGGGAAUAUUGCACAAUGGGCGAAAGCCUGAUGCAGCAACGCCGCGUGAGUGAUGAAGGUCUUCGGAUUGUAAAGCUCUGUCUUUUGGGACGAUAAUGACGGUACCAAAGGAGGAAGCCACGGCUAACUACGUGCCAGCAGCCGCGGUAAUACGUAGGUGGCGAGCGUUGUCCGGAUUUACUGGGCGUAAAGGGUGCGUAGGCGGAUGUUUAAGUGAGAUGUGAAAUACCCGGGCUUAACUUGGGUGCUGCAUUUCAAACUGGAUAUCUAGAGUGCAGGAGAGGAGAAUGGAAUUCCUAGUGUAGCGGUGAAAAUGCGUAGAGAUUAGGAAGAACACCAGUGGCGAAGGCGAUUCUCUGGACUGUAACUGACGCUGAGGCACGAAAAGCGUGGGUAGCAAAACAGGAUUAGAUACCCUGGUAGUCCACGCCGUAAAACGAUGAGUACUAGGUGUAGGAGGUAUCGACCCCUUCUGUGCCGCAGUAAAACACAUUAAAGUACUCCGCCUGGGA
Molecule: ribosomal RNA, 513 nt
Filed under: uncultured bacterium
Lineage: Bacteria
Description: partial 16S ribosomal RNA
Rfam family: Bacterial small subunit ribosomal RNA
Source: RNAcentral